Molecule: ribosomal RNA, 497 nt
Filed under: uncultured bacterium
Lineage: Bacteria
Description: partial 16S ribosomal RNA
Rfam family: Bacterial small subunit ribosomal RNA
Source: RNAcentral
GAUGAACGCUGGCGGCGUGCCUAAUACAUGCAAGUCGAGCGAACAGAUAAGGAGCUUGCUCCUUUGACGUUAGCGGCGGACGGGUGAGUAACACGUGGGUAACCUACCUAUAAGACUGGAAUAACUCCGGGAAACCGGGGCUAAUGCCGGAUAACAUUUAGAACCGCAUGGUUCUAAAGUGAAAGAUGGUUUUGCUAUCACUUAUAGAUGGACCCGCGCCGUAUUAGCUAGUUGGUAAGGUAACGGCUUACCAAGGCAACGAUACGUAGCCGACCUGAGAGGGUGAUAGGCCACACUGGAACUGAGACACGGUCCAGACUCCUACGGGAGGCAGCAGUAGGGAAUCUACCGCAAUGGGCGAAAGCCUGACGGAGCAACGCCGCGUGAGUGAUGAAGGUCUUCGGAUCGUAAAACUCUGUUAUUAGGGAAGAACAAAUGUGUAAGUAACUGUGCACGUCUUGACGGUACCUAAUCAGAAAGCCACGGCUAACUACGUG